UUGGGCUUUGCCUGCUAUCUCUUACCCAUGUCUUUUGAGUACCUUCGUUUCCUCGGCGGGUCCGCCCGCCGAUUGGACAAAUUUAAACCCUUUGCAGUUGCAAUCAGCGUCUGAAAAAACAUAAUAGUUACAACUUUCAACAACGGAUCUCUUGGUUCUGGCAUCGAUGAAGAACGCAGCGAAAUGCGAUAAGUAGUGUGAAUUGCAGAAUUCAGUGAAUCAUCGAAUCUUUGAACGCACAUUGCGCCCCUUGGUAUUCCAUGGGGCAUGCCUGUUCGAGCGUCAUUUGUACCUUCAAGCUCUGCUUGGUGUUGGGUGUUUGUCUCGCCUUUGCGUGUAGACUCGCCUCAAAACAAUUGGCAGCCGGCGUAUUGAUUUCGGAGCGCAGUACAUCUCGCGCUUUGCACUCAUAACGACGACGUCCAAAAAGUACAUUUUUACACUCUUGACCUCGGAUCAGGUAGGGAUACCCGCUGAACUUAAGCAUAUCAAUAAGCGGGAGGAAGAUC
Molecule: ribosomal RNA, 509 nt
Filed under: fungal sp. YCZKDF11
Lineage: Eukaryota; Fungi
Description: eukaryotic LSU rRNA
Rfam family: 5.8S ribosomal RNA (bases 132-285)
Source: RNAcentral